RNAcentral lists this ribosomal RNA (460 nucleotides) under uncultured bacterium. RNAcentral's name for it is "partial 16S ribosomal RNA". It matches the Rfam family "Bacterial small subunit ribosomal RNA", at positions 338 to 795 of the family's 1533-position model. The record is from RNAcentral.
CCUACGGGCGGCAGCAGUGAGGAAUAUUGGUCAAUGGACGGACGUCUGAACCAGCCAUGCCGCGUGCAGGAAGACGGCUCUAUGAGUUGUAAACUGCUUUUGUACAAGGGUAAACCUGAAUACGUGUAUUCAGCUGAAAGUACUGUACGAAUAAGGAUCGGCUAACUCCGUGCCAGCAGCCGCGGUAAUACGGAGGAUCCAAGCGUUAUCCGGAUUUAUUGGGGUUAAAGGGUGCGUAGGCGGAUUGAUAAGUUAGAGGUGAAAUGUCCGAGCUUAACUCGGGAACUGCCUCUAAUACUGUUGUUCUAGAGAGUAGGUGCGGUAGGCGGAAUGUAUGGUGUAGCGGUGAAAUGCUUAGAGAUCAUACAGAACACCGAUUGCGAAGGCAGCUUACCAAUCUAUAUCUGACGUUGAGGCACGAAAGCGUGGGGAGCAAACAGGAUUAGAUACCCCUGUAGUC